UGCAUUGCAUUUAGUUAUAAUUGAAACUUUUCUUCUAAAAUAAACAAUGUUUAUUAUAUUUAUUAUUUAUAAAAAGUAAGUGAGAUGAACUUAUUUUUUUGAAAAUCUGUAUUUACACGUGUGAACGCAUAAUUUAAAACGAAUAAAGACUGACAAUAAAAGUGAUAUUUAUUUUGAGAUAUAAAAUAUAUAAAAAUAAUAAUAAGAAUUUCUAUAAAGUUCUUUUAUUAUAAUAAUAUCUUUUAAUUACUAUAUUUUGAAUUAUAUUUUUCAUAUCAACACAAUUCAAUAUAAAUAAAUAUGAUGAUCUCACUAGUAAAUAGGCCUAUAGAUAAAUAAAAUAUUUUUUUGAUUGAUUAACUUUUAGAAAAUUUAUAAAUAUUUAUAAUAUUAAAAAAUUUAAAAUAAUAUGAAACCUUAUGAAAUUUUACAAAUAAUUUUUUAAUCUAACACAGCUUUAGCAACUUUCUUAUCCCUCCUCAUUAUAAUAUCAACGGUAAAGUUCUUAGGAUCUUUUAUCUUAGGGGUAAUUAUUAUUGGAGAACAACACAUGCUAUUUGAGAGACUAUAACUUUCUCAUUAUAUCUAUAUUUCAUUUUGUUGGAAUUAAGCUCUUGAAGAACUCGGCAAAAGCUGACAUAUUUCUAAUAACAUUCAACAAAGGUAAAUUAAUGUUAACUUUAGAAAGAAUAUCAAAGAUUUUAGAAAAUUGCUUAUCCUGUUUGCUUUUUUUCAAUCUGUUAGGAAAUGAAAAAAGAGGCUUAUAAGGCUCAGUUACUUUGUAGAACUCAGGUCCUGAAAAUGCCUCUUUAUCUUUCUUUUUUUAGCCAAAAUUGGGCUCUACUCUUCCUUCAUUUUAUAUACCUCCAUCAGUUAUUUCCACAUCAACUAGUCCAUCUUCUUUUAAUGUACCUGCAUAAGAAGAAUUUUUAUGUAUUAAGGUUUCAAUAUUAUUAUCAAAUAACUCACUAUCCUUUAGAAUAGUGAUAGCUUUAGCUUGCUCAGGUUGACUUGGAAAUUUUAUUUUCUUGUUUUCUUGUAUAGCUUCAGUAAUUUGCUCAAUUUGAGUUUCCAAUCGCUUCAUUGAAGCUUCUAUGGAAUCAGCUUUCUUUUUAUUCCUCUCCAUUCUAUAAUGGGUAGCUAUCAUAAAAGUUUGGAGUGUAUCCUUCAAGCUUGGUUUUCUUUGAGGAGCUUGUCCUUGAUUUUAGAAUGAAGAGUUUUGAUUCCUUGGAGAUUGACGCUCUUGGUUUUGAUAUUGGAGCUAAUUUUGGUUCCUCAAUAUCUUUGGUGGGUUGUGGUCAUUAUUUCUCCAAAAAAAAUUUGGAUGGUUUCUCCAACCUUGAUUAUAAGUAUUGGAAUAUGGAUUAUUUCUAAGUUCCCUAGGUUGAUAAGAUUUCAUCAAGUUAACCUGUUUAUAAUCAUUUCCUGCAUAACUCUCAUAAGAUGAACAAAUAUUA
Molecule: long non-coding RNA, 1457 nt
Filed under: Ricinus communis (castor bean)
Lineage: Eukaryota; Viridiplantae; Streptophyta; Magnoliopsida; Malpighiales; Euphorbiaceae
Description: long non-coding RNA (RCOM_LNC001539)
Source: RNAcentral